This 492-nucleotide ribosomal RNA is filed under the name uncultured bacterium. RNAcentral describes it as "partial 16S ribosomal RNA". It matches the Rfam family "Bacterial small subunit ribosomal RNA", at positions 29 to 507 of the family's 1533-position model. The record is from RNAcentral.
AGUGAACGCUGGCGGUAGGCCUAACACAUGCAAGUCGAACGGCAGCACAGUAAGCUCUUGCUCUUACGGGUGGCGAGUGGCGGACGGGUGAGGAAUACAUCGGAAUCUACUUUUUCUUGGGGGAUAACGUAGGGAAACUUACGCUAAUACCUCAUACUUCCUACGGGUUAAAUCAGGGGAUCUUCGGACCUUUCGCGAUUGAAUUAGCCGAUGUCGGAUUAGCUAGUUUGCUUGGUAACGGCCUACCAAGGCAACGAUCCGUAGCCGAUCUGAGAGGAUGAUCGGUCACACGGGAACUGAGACACGGUCAAGACUCCUACGAGAGGCAGCAGACGGGAAUCUGCGGCAACGGUGGGAAGCCUGACACAGUGAGGCCGAGCGUGAGACAAAGGCCUUCGGUUCGUGAUGCCCGGUUUUGGGGUAAGAACAGAUGUGGCAUGAGACGUAGAGUGCGUGACGGUAAUGAAUAAAGAAGCACCGGCUAACUACGUG